GAUGAACGCUGGCGGCGUGCCUAAUACAUGCAAGUCGAGCGAACAGACGAGGAGCUUGCUCCUCUGACGUUAGCGGCGGACGGGUGAGUAACACGUGGAUAACCUACCUAUAAGACUGGGAUAACUUCGGGAAACCGGAGCUAAUACCGGAUAAUAUAUUGAACCGCAUGGUUCAAUAGUGAAAGACGGUUUUGCUGUCACUUAUAGAUGGAUCCGCGCCGCAUUAGCUAGUUGGUAAGGUAACGGCUUACCAAGGCAACGAUGCGUAGCCGACCUGAGAGGGUGAUCGGCCACAUGGGAACUGGGACACGGUCCAGACUCCUACGGGAGGCAGCAGUAGGGAAUCUUCCGCAAUGGGCGAAAGCCUGACGGAGCAACGCCGCGUGAGUGAUGAAGGUCUUCGGAUCGUAAAACUCUGUUAUUAGGGAAGAACAAAUGUGUAAGUAACUAUGCACGUCUUGACGGUACCUAAUCAGAAAGCCACGGCUAACUACGUG
This 497-nucleotide ribosomal RNA is filed under the name uncultured bacterium. RNAcentral's name for it is "partial 16S ribosomal RNA". It matches the Rfam family "Bacterial small subunit ribosomal RNA", at positions 28 to 507 of the family's 1533-position model. The record is from RNAcentral.